GGGCCUGUAGCUCAGCCUGGAAAGAGUAUUAGCCUUCUAAGCUAAGGGUCGCAGGUUCAAAUCCUGCCAGGCCCG
Molecule: transfer RNA, 75 nt
Filed under: Candidatus Nanoarchaeia archaeon
Lineage: Archaea; Nanobdellati; Nanobdellota; Candidatus Nanoarchaeia
Description: tRNA-Arg
Rfam family: tRNA
About the family: Transfer RNA (tRNA) molecules are approximately 80 nucleotides in length.
Source: RNAcentral